Long non-coding RNA from Bufo gargarizans (Asiatic toad), 498 nucleotides. RefSeq lists it as uncharacterized. The transcript is spliced from 3 exons. The record is from RefSeq and is a predicted model, not a curated record. NCBI's taxonomy places the organism in Eukaryota, Metazoa, Chordata, Amphibia, Anura, Bufonidae.
GAUCCCUGUGUGGACGGGGGGAGGAGGGGGGCGCAGAUACCGCCGCGGCUCCGCCGCCGCCCCCCUUCCCCCUGAAUGACGGCCAGACAUGGUGCAUGAGGGAGCCUGGCCUCCGUGCGGUCCGCCCCCAGCCUGGAGGAAAAGAAGCGACGCGGUCCGGAGCAUAGCCCCACUCACCUAGGGGCCAGCCGACCGGACUCCACUCACCUGCCUGCUGAAGACAAAGAUGCCAGGAACAAUGUGGAUGCUAGACACCGAAAGUACUAAGAUGCUCCAGGACAUGAAAUUUGGAUUGAUCAUGGCUAUUCCAUUCUUUGUCCUCCUUGUGUUCCUGGUGGUAUUUGCCGUCAUCCUCUACUGCACGUUUUGCCGCAAAAAGACAGAGACCUGAGAACAUCACAGCCCUGCUAUGAAGUGAAACGUCAGAUUUGAAAAAAAUCGGCCUGGGAUUUAAAGGAUAACUGUCACAUAUUUUUUUUAUUUUAUAUUGGAUUUUGG